Molecule: ribosomal RNA, 507 nt
Filed under: uncultured bacterium
Lineage: Bacteria
Description: partial 16S ribosomal RNA
Rfam family: Bacterial small subunit ribosomal RNA
Source: RNAcentral
GACGAACGCUGGCGGCGUGCCUAAUACAUGCAAGUCGAACGCAUUUUCUUUCACCGUAGCUUGCUACACCGAAAGAAAAUGAGUGGCGAACGGGUGAGUAACACGUGGGUAACCUGCCCAUCAGCGGGGGAUAACACUUGGAAACAGGUGCUAAUACCGCAUAAUUCCAUUUACCGCAUGGUAGAUGGAUGAAAGGCGCUUUUGCGUCACUGAUGGAUGGACCCGCGGUGCAUUAGCUAGUUGGUGGGGUAACGGCCUACCAAGGCUGCGAUGCAUAGCCGACCUGAGAGGGUGAUCGGCCACACUGGGACUGAGACACGGCCCAGACUCCUACGGGAGGCAGCAGUAGGGAAUCUUCGGCAAUGGACGCAAGUCUGACCGAGCAACGCCGCGUGAGUGAAGAAGGUUUUCGGAUCGUAAAACUCUGUUGUUAGAGAAGAACAAGGAUGAGAGUGGAAAGUUCAUCCCUUGACGGUAGCUAAACAGAAAGCCACGGCUAACUACGUG